AAAUUGAAGAGUUUGAUCAUGGCUCAGAUUGAACGCUGGCGGCAGGCCUAACACAUGCAAGUCGAACGGUAGCACAGAGAGCUUGCUCUCGGGUGACGAGUGGCGGACGGGUGAGUAAUGUCUGGGAAACUGCCUGAUGGAGGGGGAUAACUACUGGAAACGGUGGCUAAUACCGCAUAACGUCGCAAGACCAAAGAGGGGGACCUUCGGGCCUCUUGCCAUCAGAUGUGCCCAGAUGGGAUUAGCUAGUUGGUGAGGUAACGGCUCACCAAGGCGACGAUCCCUAGCUGGUCUGAGAGGAUGACCAGCCACACUGGAACUGAGACACGGUCCAGACUCCUACGGGAGGCAGCAGUGGGGAAUAUUGCACAAUGGGCGCAAGCCUGAUGCAGCCAUGCCGCGUGUAUGAAGAAGGCCUUCGGGUUGUAAAGUACUUUCAGCGGGGAGGAAGGUGUUGUGGUUAAUAACCACAGCAAUUGACGUUACCCGCAGAAGAAGCACCGGCUAACUCCGUGCCAGCAGCCGCGGUAAUACGGAGGGUGCAAGCGUUAAUCGGAAUUACUGGGCGUAAAGCGCACGCAGGCGGUCUGUCAAGUCGGAUGUGAAAUCCCCGGGCUCAACCUGGGAACUGCAUUCGAAACUGGCAGGCUUGAGUCUUGUAGAGGGGGGUAGAAUUCCAGGUGUAGCGGUGAAAUGCGUAGAGAUCUGGAGGAAUACCGGUGGCGAAGGCGGCCCCCUGGACAAAGACUGACGCUCAGGUGCGAAAGCGUGGGGAGCAAACAGGAUUAGAUACCCUGGUAGUCCACGCCGUAAACGAUGUCUACUUGGAGGUUGUGCCCUUGAGGCGUGGCUUCCGGAGCUAACGCGUUAAGUAGACCGCCUGGGGAGUACGGCCGCAAGGUUAAAACUCAAAUGAAUUGACGGGGGCCCGCACAAGCGGUGGAGCAUGUGGUUUAAUUCGAUGCAACGCGAAGAACCUUACCUGGUCUUGACAUCCACAGAACUUUCCAGAGAUGGAUUGGUGCCUUCGGGAACUGUGAGACAGGUGCUGCAUGGCUGUCGUCAGCUCGUGUUGUGAAAUGUUGGGUUAAGUCCCGCAACGAG
This 1104-nucleotide ribosomal RNA is filed under the name Salmonella enterica. RNAcentral's name for it is "bacterial SSU rRNA". It matches the Rfam family "Bacterial small subunit ribosomal RNA", at positions 1 to 1096 of the family's 1533-position model. Lineage: Bacteria; Pseudomonadati; Pseudomonadota; Gammaproteobacteria; Enterobacterales; Enterobacteriaceae. The record is from RNAcentral.